GCCUACGGGAGGCAGCAGCCGCGGUAAUACGUAGGUGGCGAACGUUAUCCGGAAUCACUGGGCGUAAAGGGUCCGCAGGUGGCAUGUCAAGUCGAUUGUGAAAGCUCCCGGCUCAACUGGGAGAGGACGGUCGAAACUGGCAAACUAGAGUCCGACAGAGGUCGGCGGAAUUCCCGGUGUAGUGGUGGAAUGCGUAGAUAUCGGGAGGAACGCCAAAAGCGAAAGCAGCCGGCUGGGUCGAGACUGACACUGAGGGACGAAAGCGUGGGUAGCGAACAGGAUUAGAAACCCCGGUAGUCC
Molecule: ribosomal RNA, 300 nt
Filed under: uncultured bacterium
Lineage: Bacteria
Description: bacterial SSU rRNA
Rfam family: Bacterial small subunit ribosomal RNA
Source: RNAcentral